GAAAUGCGAUAAGUAGUGUGAAUUGCAGAAUUCAGUGAAUCAUCGAAUCUUUGAACGCACAUUGCGCCCUUUGGUAUUCCUUAGGGCAUACCUGUUCGAGCGUCAUCUAAACCUUCAAGCCCUGCUUGGUGUUGGGUGCCUGUCCCGCCUCCGCGCGCGGACUCACCUCAAAUCCAUUGGCGGCCCCCGCGUCGGCCACGAGCGCAGCAGAAACGCGAACUCGUGAGCCCGUCCGGGCGGCUCCCAGAAGCUACACCCACCCAGUUUGACCUCGGAUCAGGUAGGGAUACCCGCUGAACUUAAGC
Molecule: unclassified non-coding RNA, 305 nt
Filed under: plant metagenome
Description: partial contains 5.8S ribosomal RNA, internal transcribed spacer 2, and large subunit ribosomal RNA
Rfam family: 5.8S ribosomal RNA (bases 1-105)
Source: RNAcentral